This 460-nucleotide ribosomal RNA is filed under the name uncultured bacterium. RNAcentral's name for it is "partial 16S ribosomal RNA". It matches the Rfam family "Bacterial small subunit ribosomal RNA", at positions 338 to 795 of the family's 1533-position model. The record is from RNAcentral.
CCUACGGGCGACAGCAGUGAGGAAUAUUGGUCAAUGGACGAGAGUCUGAACCAGCCAAGUAGCGUGAAGGAUGACUGCCCUAUGGGUUGUAAACUUCUUUUAUAAAGGAAUAAAACGAGGCACGUGUGCCUUUUUGCAUGUACUUUAUGAAUAAGGAUCGGCUAACUCCGGGCCAGCAGCCGCGGUAAUACGGAGGAUCCGAGCGUUAUCCGGAUUUAUUGGGUUUAAAGGGAGCGUAGAUGGGUUGUUAAGUCAGUUGUGAAAGUUUGCGGCUCAACCGUAAAAUUGCAAUUGAUACUGGCAGUCGUGAGUAGAGUUGAGGUAGGCGGAAUUCGUGGUGUAGCGGUGAAAUGCUUAGAUAUCACGAAGAACCCCGAUUGCGAAGGCAGCUUACUAAACUGUGACUGACAUUGAUGCUCGAAAGUGUGGGUAUCAAACAGGAUUAGAUACCCCGGUAGUC